This 469-nucleotide ribosomal RNA is filed under the name uncultured bacterium. RNAcentral describes it as "SSU rRNA". It matches the Rfam family "Bacterial small subunit ribosomal RNA", at positions 26 to 523 of the family's 1533-position model. The record is from RNAcentral.
AGCCUGAACGCUGGCGGCGUGGCUAAGACAUGCAAGUCGUACGGGUGUAGCAAUACACCAGUGGCGGACGGGUGAGUAAUGUAUCGCUAACGUACCCCGGAUUCUGGGAUAGCUGCCCGAAAGGGCAGGUAAUACCGGAUGAUAUAUCCUUUUCGCAUGAUGAGGAUCUCAAAGGGAAACCGUUCUGGGAGCGGGCGAUAUCGUAUCAGCUAGUUGGUGAGGUAACGGCUCACCAAGGCGACGACGCGUAGCCGGACUGAGAGGUUGGCCGGCCACAUUGGGACUGAGACACUGCCCAGACUCCUACGGGGGCUGCAGUAACGAAUCUUCCGCAAUGCACGCAAGUGUGACGGAGCGACGCCGCGUGUGGGACGAAGUCCUUCGGGAUGUAAACCACUGUCAGGGGUUAGAAAGUUCUGAUCAACCCCAGAGGAAGGCACGGCUAACUCUGCGCCAGCAGCCGCGGUAA